UUUUGAGCCCCGGGGUCCAAGACAUCUGCAUCCUAACUGCUGCUGCUGCUGCUGGUUCAGAGGCCACAUCAUGAGAACUGCUGACUGGGCAGUGAUACCGAAGAAUGUGAUCUGGUUAAGAUGAGGUCACACCGGAGUAGAGCAGACCCAGUCCAGUGACGUGUCCUUAAAAGAAGAGGAAAUCUGGACAUAGACAUACAAGGUUGUAACGACAGAGGCAGCAACUGGAGAGAUUCACCAUGGAUGCCAGCCAGCACCAGACCCUGGCAAAGAGGCCUGGAACACACUCCCCAUCUGAGCCUCCAAAGGGGAACCAGGCCUGCCAACAUCUGGAUUUCAGACCUCUGGCCUACAGAACACAGAGAAGUGCAGGUCAGCGUCCAUGGCACAUUGGCCCAGAGGCCACUGGUGGCUGCAUGCUGGACUGGGCUCCCCAUCCUUGGACUAGUAACUGGAAGGUUUGCUGCAUUUCUUCCCUCACUGUCCCGAGAUUACUUCUCAGGUGUCCAGGGCCCCUGGAGAUCCGAAAUCAGGUCUCCCCAGGAAAGGGAGGGGAGGCUGGUACCCCGGCUGCUGCUAGGCCGCACAGUCCAUGUUAACCACCUCAAGGAAGCAGGGGAGGGACAGAUGGGGCAAGAUGCAUCCCAGGCCACCCAGGAGUCCUAGGCCCCAAGCCCUGUGUGCACACCCACGACCCCUGGAAGAGGAGCUCCAUGGGAUUUGUGGGCCCACUGUGGGGACACCCUUUCUCUGCUUCCACAGAUCCCAGCUUCGAGGGCUAUGCAGUUGCUGCCUGGCCUCUCCGGCCCCAGAGCUAUGGCCAGCGGCCCACCUGUUAUCCUUACUAGGGUGCCUCCAGCACCUGGGCAGUGGGCUCUCAUACCCCUCAUUUCAGACAGGUGUCCAUCCCAGCGUCCACCCAGUGCCCCCGCAGGCCCCCCUGCACCCGUGGGAGUCAGCUGCCCACACUGGUUGGGCCCCUGCUGCAGCCUGGCUUUGAUGCAAAAGCAAAAAUCCUUCCCCAGGGAACCCCACAAGCUCCUCAUCCUGUCUCUGAUGGCGCCAUGGGAAUCGUGCGCCUGCGAAUGUGAAAACAACUGCCCUGCCUCUGCCCCUGUGACCCGGAUCCCACUCCCCCACCCUCUGCCACCGUCAGGACUAAGGUGACGCGGAGGGGCUGUUGGCCCAAAGCCAGAGGCCUGGCUCUCAUUUGGGAGUGUGGCCUUGGGCAGUUCCACCCCAUUUUAGACGCCUGCCCCCCCAACCCCACUGCCCUUUAUCCCCUCCCAGCGUCCCACAGCCACAGAUGUACCAUGUGACCUCCCCACCAGCAGAGCUUUCAGACCAGGAGUGUGCUGGGACCCCUCCCCACCCCCCAUGAUCCCCAUGUGAGCCGGACUGAGUUCCCUUGCUCAGAAUCUGUACUUGGGAAGCAAGCCAGAGUUGUGAGGUAGGAGAGCCGGCACGCUGCCUGAGGGUUGUCAGCCAGUCCUUGGGCAGUGCCCCCUGACCUGGGUCUGGGUGGCCCAACACUGGCGCUGUGAUGCCAAUUCCCCAUGAUUCAAAUUGUUUGUAUAGACAGGGACCCUCAAAGGAAAAUGUGCCCGUGUCUGGCACAUUCUGGGACUCAUUCUUGCUCAUCUGUAAAACAGAAUAACUACAGAACUGUAGCAAGAUGAGGUAGGUGGUAGCUGGCAAACCAGGUCAGCAAGCCACAGCCCCACGACGUAAGGACUGCUUCACUCCAGCCCCCAGUGUCCUGAUGCCUACACUGCUCAGCUGCCUUCCAGGGCACUCCCAGGACAGAGCCUUCCAGUGGAUGACCCGCCAGGUCACACUGGCUCCUUACCAUGCCAGGAGCCUCCCAGGCCAGAUACAGGCCUUCCUUCGUCAAACUGUUCCCAUCCCGGAAUGUCCUCCACUCCUAUUGCCUUCACAAAUCCGGCUCCGCCCAAAAACCACCUCCUCCAGGAAGCCUUCUCUGACCACCCCAUCCAUCUUGGAGCUCCCACCUCUGGAUGCCUGGAGCAGUGUUUCACACUGUCUGCUACACGCACCACCUGAACAAGAAAGAGGCUCUGUGGAACCUUGUCGUCACACAUCCCACAAACUCACUUAUUCCCUUAGGAUAAAUUCCCAGGUAUGGAUUGAUUCCUGGGUCGGCCUACAGGCACAUUUUUAAGACAACUGGCAUGUAAAACAAAGUGCUUUCCAGAAAGAUUGCAACAUACCAUUUUCAUUAACAAUAAAUGAAAAUAAAAUUUUUAAAUUGUCAA
Molecule: non-coding RNA, 2276 nt
Organism: Manis javanica (Malayan pangolin)
Lineage: Eukaryota; Metazoa; Chordata; Mammalia; Pholidota; Manidae
Source: RefSeq, a predicted model, not a curated record